RNAcentral lists this ribosomal RNA (495 nucleotides) under uncultured bacterium. RNAcentral's name for it is "partial 16S ribosomal RNA". It matches the Rfam family "Bacterial small subunit ribosomal RNA", at positions 28 to 507 of the family's 1533-position model. The record is from RNAcentral.
GACGAACGCUGGCGGCGUGCCUAAUACAUGCAAGUCGAACGCUGAAGGAGGAGCUUGCUUCUCUGGAUGAGUUGCGAACGGGUGAGUAACGCGUAGGUAACCUGCCUGGUAGCGGGGGAUAACUACUGGAAACGAUAGCUAAUACCGCAUAAUAGCAGUUGUUGCAUGACAACUGUUUGAAAGGUGCAAUUGCACCACUACCAGAUGGACCUGCGUUGUAUUAGCUAGUUGGUGGGGUAACGGCUCACCAAGGCGACGAUACAUAGCCGACCUGAGAGGGUGAUCGGCCACACUGGGACUGAGACACGGCCCAGACUCCUACGGGAGGCAGCAGUAGGGAAUCUUCGGCAAUGGACGGAAGUCUGACCGAGCAACGCCGCGUGAGUGAAGAAGGUUGUCGGAUCGUAAAGCUCUGUUGUAAGAGAAGAACGAGUGUGAGAGUGGAAAGUUCACACUGUGACGGUAUCUUACCAGAAAGGGACGGCUAACUACGUG